This 18-nucleotide small nuclear RNA is filed under the name Arabidopsis thaliana (thale cress). RNAcentral describes it as "snRNA_09568". The record is from RNAcentral. Lineage: Eukaryota; Viridiplantae; Streptophyta; Magnoliopsida; Brassicales; Brassicaceae.
AUCGAACCAUCUAGUAGC